Molecule: ribosomal RNA, 468 nt
Filed under: uncultured bacterium
Lineage: Bacteria
Description: partial 16S ribosomal RNA
Rfam family: Bacterial small subunit ribosomal RNA
Source: RNAcentral
GACGAACGCUGGCGGCGUGCUUAACACAUGCAAGUCGAACGGAAAGGCCCUUCUUUUGUGGGGUGCUCGAGUGGCGAAAGGGUGAGUAACACGUGAGUAACCUGCCCUUGACUUUGGGAUAACUUCAGGAAACUGGGGCUAAUACCGGAUAGGAGCUCCUGCUGCAUGGUGGGGGUUGGAAAGUUUCGGCGGUUGGGGAUGGACUCGCGGCUUAUCAGCUUGUUGGUGGGGUAGUGGCUUACCAAGGCUUUGACGGGUAGCCGGCCUGAGAGGGUGACCGGCCACGUUGGGACUGGGAUACGGCCCGGACUCCUACGGGAGGCAGCAGUGGGGAAUAUUGCACAAUGGGCGGAAGCCUGAUGCAGCAACGCCGCGUGCGGGAUGACGACCUUCGGGUUGUAAUCCGCUUUCGCCUGUGACGAAGCGUGAGUGACGGUAAUGGGUAAAGAAGCACCGGCUAACUACGUG